RNAcentral lists this ribosomal RNA (438 nucleotides) under Agaporomorphus tambopatensis. RNAcentral's name for it is "partial 16S ribosomal RNA". Lineage: Eukaryota; Metazoa; Arthropoda; Insecta; Coleoptera; Dytiscidae. The record is from RNAcentral.
CCUGCCCACUGAAUAUAUUUAAAUGGCCGCAGUAAUUUGACUGUGCAAAGGUAGCAUAAUCAUUAGUUUUUUAAUUAAAAGCUUGUAUGAAGGGUUGGACGAGAUAAAAUCUGUCUUUAUUUAAUUUAAAAUAGAAUUUAAUUUUUAAGUUAAAAAGCUUAAAUAUUAUUAAAAGACGAGAAGACCCUAUAAAUCUUUAUAUUAUAAAAUUUAAUUUUAUUUAGGUUUAUUUAUUUAUUUUUAUUUUUUAUAGUAUUUUAUUGGGGUAAUAAAUAGAUUAAAUAAAUUCUUUUUUUUUAUCUACAUUAAUUUAUGAAUCUUUGAUCCAAUAAUUUUGAUUAUAAGAUUAAGUUACUUUAGGGAUAACAGCGUAAUUUUUUUAUAGAGUUCUUAUCGAUAAAAAAGUUUGCGACCUCGAUGUUGGAUUAAAAAUUGUUC